Molecule: ribosomal RNA, 387 nt
Filed under: uncultured bacterium
Lineage: Bacteria
Description: bacterial SSU rRNA
Rfam family: Bacterial small subunit ribosomal RNA
Source: RNAcentral
GACGAACGCUGGCGGCGUGCUUAACACAUGCAAGUCGAGCGGUAAGGCCCCUUCGGGGGUACACGAGCGGCGAACGGGUGAGUAACACGUGAGCAACCUACCCUCAACUUCGGGAUAAGCCUCGGAAACGGGGUCUAAUACCGGAUAUCACUUUCCACCUCAUGGUGGGGGGUUGAAAGUUCUGGCGGUUGGGGAGUGGGCUCGCGGCCUAUCAGCUUGUUGGUGGGGUAAUGGCCUACCAAGGCGUCGACGGGUAGCCGGCCUGAGAGGGCGACCGGCCACACUGGGACUGAGACACGGCCCAGACUCCUACGGGAGGCAGCAGUGGGGAAUAUUGCGCAAUGGACGAAAGUCUGACGCAGCAACGCCGCGUGAGGGAUGACGGCC